AUUGAACCCAGUGCCUCGCACAUGCUAGGUGAGUGCUUUACCACUCAGCCCCAGUCCCAGCCCCAAUAUAUGACCUUUUGUGUCUGGUUUCUUUCACAGCAUGUUUUCAAAGUUAACCUGUGCUAUAACAUGUAUCAAUACUUCUUUUUGCUUCAUUUUUUUUUCCUUUCUGUGUGUGUGUAUGAGAGAGAUGUAUAUAACACAGUAUGUAUAGAGUCACUACUUACGUCUACAGUGUUGUACAACUAGCACAGGAUAUUUUCAAAACUUUCAUUGCAUAAAAUGGAAACUAUAACCAUUAGGCCUCUCAUGACCUCUAAUUUACUUUUGGUCUCUGAAUUUACCUGUUGAGGGUAACACUCAUGUAAGGGGAAUCAAACAUUUAUCCUUUUGUAUCUGCCUGCCUUAACUUAGCAUAAUGUCUUCAAAGUUUACCCAUGUUGAGAAUAUAAUAGGAUUCCAUUCCUUUCUAUGGCUCAGUAAUAUUCCAUUGUGAGGAUAGAACACAUUGUGUUUAUCCAUCAGUGCGUGAACAGUUGCUUUGUAUCCAUUUUUUGGCUAUUUAUAACUGCUGCCAAAACAUUCAUGUACAAAUUUUUAUAUGGACAUGUUAAUUUCUCUUUGAUUAUGACCCUAGGAGUGGAAUUGCUGAGUCAUAACUAUGUUUGACUUUCUUAAGAACUGCC
RNAcentral lists this long non-coding RNA (686 nucleotides) under Marmota monax (woodchuck). Lineage: Eukaryota; Metazoa; Chordata; Mammalia; Rodentia; Sciuridae. The record is from RNAcentral.